AUGGACACCAUGAAUAUUGUCCCAAUUGGUUUGUUGCUCAAAGGAAACCAAAUGGUCAGUAUUGGUGCUGUAUGGAUUGAAUCCAAGUUCAUUUUGGAGCUCAAUUUCCAUGGCAGCAUGAUGAUCUUGUUGAUGAGGGUAGGAGAGCUCUUCCAUGGAGAGUCUCAAGUUUUCUACAACAGCAAAGCUGUUGUUGUUGUUGUUGUGGGUUUCU
Molecule: long non-coding RNA, 214 nt
Filed under: Prunus dulcis (almond)
Lineage: Eukaryota; Viridiplantae; Streptophyta; Magnoliopsida; Rosales; Rosaceae
Description: sRNA ncRNA
Source: RNAcentral